AUUGAACGCUGGCGGCAUGCCUUACACAUGCAAGCCGAACGGUAGAGUAGCAAUACUUGAGAGUGGCGAACGGGUGAGUAAUAUAUCGGAACGGUGCCCAGUCGUGGGGGAUAACGUAGAGAAAUUUACGCUAAUACCGCAUACGAUCUAAGGAUGAAAGCGGGGGAUUCGCAAGAACCUCGCGCGAUUGGAGCGGCUGAUAUCAGAUUAGGUUGUUGGUGAGGUAAAAGCUCACCAAGCCGACGAUCUGUAGCUGGUUUGAGAGAACGACCAGCCACACUGGGACUGAGACACGGCCCAGACUCCUACGGGAGGCAGCAGUGGGGAAUUUUGGACAAUGGGCGGCAAGCCUGAUCCAGCAAUGCCGCGUGCAGGAUGAAGCU
Molecule: ribosomal RNA, 383 nt
Filed under: uncultured bacterium
Lineage: Bacteria
Description: bacterial SSU rRNA
Rfam family: Bacterial small subunit ribosomal RNA
Source: RNAcentral